AGGAAUAUUGGUCAAUGGGCGAGAGCCUGAACCAGCCAAGUAGCGUGAAGGAUGACUGCCCUAUGGGUUGUAAACUUCUUUUAUAAAGGAAUAAAGUCGGGUAUGGAUACCCGUUUGCAUGUACUUUAUGAAUAAGGAUCGGCUAACUCCGUGCCAGCAGCCGCGGUAAUACGGAGGAUCCGAGCGUUAUCCGGAUUUAUUGGGUUUAAAGGGAGCGUAGAUGGAUGUUUAAGUCAGUUGUGAAAGUUUGCGGCUCAACCGUAAAAUUGCAGUUGAUACUGGAUAUCUUGAGUGCAGUUGAGGCAGGCGGAAUUCGUGGUGUAGCGGUGAAAUGCUUAGAUAUCACGAAGAACUCCGAUUGCGAAGGCAGCCUGCUAAGCUGCAACUGACAUUGAGGCUCGAAAGUGUGGGUAUCAAACAGGAUUAGAUACCCUGGUAGUCCACACGGUAAACGAUGAAUACUCGCUGUUUGCGAUAUACGGCAAGCGGCCAAGCGAAAGCGUUAAGUAUUCCACCUGGGGAGUACGCCGGCAACGGUGAAACUCAAAGGAAUUGACGGGGGCCCGCACAAGCGGAGGAACAUGUGGUUUAAUUCGAUGAUACGCGAGGAACCUUACCCGGGCUUAAAUUGCAGAUGAAUUACGGUGAAAGCCGUAAGCCGCAAGGCAUCUGUGAAGGUGCUGCAUGGUUGUCGUCAGCUCGUGCCGUGAGGUGUCGGCUUAAGUGCCAUAACGAGCGCAACCCUUAUCGAUAGUUACUAGCAGGUCAUGCUGAGGACUCUAUUGAGACUGCCGUCGUAAGAUGUGAGGAAGGUGGAGAUGACGUCAAAUCAGCACGGCCCUUACGUCCGGGGCUACACACGUGUUACAAUGGGGGGUACAGAAGGCAGCUACACGGCGACGUGGUGCUAAUCCCGAAAGCCUCUCUCAGUUCGGAUUGGAGUCUGCAACCCGACUCCAUGAAGCUGGAUUCGCUAGUAAUCGCGCAUCAGCCACGGCGCGGUGAAUACGUUCCCG
This 1016-nucleotide ribosomal RNA is filed under the name uncultured bacterium. RNAcentral describes it as "bacterial SSU rRNA". It matches the Rfam family "Bacterial small subunit ribosomal RNA", at positions 357 to 1376 of the family's 1533-position model. The record is from RNAcentral.